GAGUUUGAUCCUGGCUCAGAUUGAACGCUGGCGGCAGGCCUAACACAUGCAAGUCGAGCGGCAGCGCGGGGCAACCUGGCGGCGAGCGGCGGACGGGUGAGUAACGCGUAGGAAUCUACCUGGUAGUGGGGGAUAGCCCGGGGAAACUCGGAUUAAUACCGCAUACGCCUUAAGGGGGAAAGCAGGGGAACUUCGGUCCUUGUGCUAUCAGAAGAGCCUGCGUUGGAUUAGCUAGUUGGUAGGGUAAAGGCCUACCAAGGCGACGAUCCAUAGCUGGUCUGAGAGGAUGAUCAGCCACACUGGGACUGAGACACGGCCCAGACUCCUACGGGAGGCAGCAGUGGGGAAUAUUGGACAAUGGGGGCAACCCUGAUCCAGCCAUGCCGCGUGUGUGAAGAAGGCCUU
RNAcentral lists this ribosomal RNA (405 nucleotides) under uncultured Gammaproteobacteria bacterium. RNAcentral's name for it is "bacterial SSU rRNA". It matches the Rfam family "Bacterial small subunit ribosomal RNA", at positions 9 to 418 of the family's 1533-position model. The record is from RNAcentral. Lineage: Bacteria; Pseudomonadati; Pseudomonadota; Gammaproteobacteria.